UUGGGAUUUUGGUGGUUAAAAUGUUGAUAUGUGGGUGUUUUGUAGUGCGGAGUGGCUUCACACGGACUUAAGAAGAACAACUGUAGGAGUGGAUAUGAACGUUGAGAAACUUGAAUGAAGCUUAAAGAAUAAUGUUGAUACAAAUGGGGUUGAUGGUACUGUUUAAUAGGGAUGUACUAAAACUUAAGGAUGCUAGGCUCCAUAUGCUCCACAGUAGAACAAGGUAUAAGCCUCCACUAUAAUCUCUUGAAGCAUCAACGCAAGAUUCUCCAUGCAUUUUCAUACAUCUGGAGACUAAAAUGUUGAUUCAUAAUGCAUAAAGAAUAAAUCGGCUGAGUGGAUCAAAGUUACAUUUGGGCUUGGGGUACGAAUCCAACUAGUUGAGAAUAAGGAGCUACCAUCUCCAUGCUGGUUGCUUCUGUAGAAGUUCAGGGUAAAGCAACAUUAAAGAAACACAAGGAGAUAACCAUUGCAAGAGUAAACAAAUUGAGAGGGCGGUCGUCUGGUGAUAAAGUAUCUCAAACACAUUUGUACAGGUAAUGCAAGAUAUUUUACCUUGUCCGUAUGUUGGGGAAUGUUCAAGCGAUGUUACUUGUUGGCU
Molecule: long non-coding RNA, 601 nt
Organism: Papaver somniferum (opium poppy)
Lineage: Eukaryota; Viridiplantae; Streptophyta; Magnoliopsida; Ranunculales; Papaveraceae
Exons: 3
Source: RefSeq, a predicted model, not a curated record